GAUGAACGCUGGCGGCGUGCCUAAUACAUGCAAGUCGAACGAAACUUCUUUAUCACCGAGUGCUUGCACUCACCGAUAAAGAGUUGAGUGGCGAACGGGUGAGUAACACGCGGGCAACCUGCCCAAAAGAGGGGGAUAACACUUGGAAACAGGUGCUAAUACCGCAUAACCAUAGUUACCGCAUGGUAACUAUGUAAAAGGUGGCUAUACUACCGCUUUUGGAUGGGCCCGCGGCGCAUUAGCUAGUUGGUAGGGUAAAGGCUUACCAAGGCAAUGAUGCGUAGCCGAAUUGAGAGGUUGAUCGGCCACAUUGGGACUGAGACACGGCCCAAACUCCUACGGGAGGCAGCAGUAGGGAAUCUUCCACAAUGGGCGAAAGCCUGAUGGAGCAACGCCGCGUGGGUGAAGAAGGUCUUCGGAUCGUAAAACCCUGUUGUUAGAGAAGAAAGUGCGUGAGAGUAACUGUUCACGUUUCGACGGUAUCUAACCAGAAAGCCACGGCUAACUACGUG
This 512-nucleotide ribosomal RNA is filed under the name uncultured bacterium. RNAcentral describes it as "partial 16S ribosomal RNA". It matches the Rfam family "Bacterial small subunit ribosomal RNA", at positions 28 to 507 of the family's 1533-position model. The record is from RNAcentral.